Molecule: ribosomal RNA, 468 nt
Filed under: uncultured bacterium
Lineage: Bacteria
Description: partial 16S ribosomal RNA
Rfam family: Bacterial small subunit ribosomal RNA
Source: RNAcentral
GACGAACGCUGGCGGCGUGCUUAACACAUGCAAGUCGAACGGAAAGGCCCUGCUUUUGUGGGGUGCUCGAGUGGCGAACGGGUGAGUAACACGUGAGUAACCCGCCCUAGACUUUGGGAUAACUUCAGGAAACUGGGGCUAAUACCGGAUAGGAGCUCCUGCUGCAUGGUGGGGGUUGGAAAGUUUCGGCGGUUGGGGAUGGACUCGCGGCUUAUCAGCUUGUUGGUGGGGUAGUGGCUUACCAAGGCUUUGACGGGUAGCCGGCCUGAGAGGGUGACCGGCCACAUUGGGACUGAGAUACGGCCCAGACUCCUACGGGAGGCAGCAGUGGGGAAUAUUGCACAAUGGGCGGAAGCCUGAUGCAGCAACGCCGCGUGCGGGAUGACGGCCUUCGGGUUGUAAACCGCUUUCGCCUGUGACGAAGCGUGAGUGACGGUAAUGGGUAAAGAAGCACCGGCUAACUACGUG